This is a non-coding RNA of Pangasianodon gigas (Mekong giant catfish), 80 nucleotides long. The record is from the annotation of a GenBank genome assembly. Lineage: Eukaryota; Metazoa; Chordata; Actinopteri; Siluriformes; Pangasiidae.
GGUACCAUGGCCAAGCGGUCUAAGGCGCUGGAUUAAGCCUCCAGUCUCUUUGGAGGUGUGGGUUUCAAUCCCAUGUAGCU